AGUGAACGCUGGCGGUAGGCCUAACACAUGCAAGUCGAACGGCAGCACAGUAAGAGCUUGCUCUUACGGGUGGCGAGUGGCGGACGGGUGAGGAAUACAUCGGAAUCUACUUUUUCGUGGGGGAUAACGUAGGGAAACUUACGCUAAUACCGCAUACGACCUACGGGUGAAAGCAGGGGAUCUUCGGACCUUGCGCGAUUGAAUGAGCCGAUGUCGGAUUAGAUAGUUGGCUGGGUAAAGGCCCACCAAGGCGACGAUCCGUAGCGGGUCUGAGAGGAUGAUCGGCCACAGGGGAAGUGAGACACGGUCAAGACUCCUACGGGAGGCAGCAGUGGGGAAUAUUGGGCAAGGGGCGAAAGCCUGACCGAGCAAUGCCGCGGGAGUGAAGAAGGUCUUCGGUUGGUAAAGCUCUUUUGUUGGGAAAGAAAAGAAGUGGUUUAAACCCCGCCGAUCUUGACGGUACCCAAAGAAAAAGCCCCGGCUAACUUCGUG
This 492-nucleotide ribosomal RNA is filed under the name uncultured bacterium. RNAcentral's name for it is "partial 16S ribosomal RNA". It matches the Rfam family "Bacterial small subunit ribosomal RNA", at positions 29 to 507 of the family's 1533-position model. The record is from RNAcentral.